Molecule: unclassified non-coding RNA, 400 nt
Filed under: soil metagenome
Description: partial contains 5.8S ribosomal RNA, internal transcribed spacer 2, and large subunit ribosomal RNA
Rfam family: 5.8S ribosomal RNA (bases 1-120)
Source: RNAcentral
GAUGAAGAACGUAGCGAAAUGCGAUACUUGGUGUGAAUUGCAGAAUCCCGUGAACCAUCGAGUCUUUGAACGCAAGUUGCGCCCGAAGCCUCGGCUAAGGGCACGUCUGCCUGGGCGUCACGCAUCGCGUCUCCCCCAAACCGCCAAGGCGGAGGGGAAGGAAGAUGGCUUCCCGUGCCUCACCCGGGCGCGGUUGGCCUAAAUUUGGAGCCCGCGGCACUUAGCUCUCGCGGCGAUAGGUGGUGAACAAGGCCUUGGCCGUGCAAACAACCCGCUGCGAAGCUCUAUGUCACGUGCGCUCGUCGGACCCUUUGAAGUUGCCUUCGGUGACUUAAAACCUUUGCGACCCAAGGUCAGGCGGGGCUACCCGCUGAAUUUAAGCAUAUCAAUAAGCGGAGGA